Oncorhynchus tshawytscha (Chinook salmon) is the source of this 2498-nucleotide long non-coding RNA. RefSeq lists it as uncharacterized. The transcript is spliced from 4 exons. The record is from RefSeq and is a predicted model, not a curated record. NCBI's taxonomy places the organism in Eukaryota, Metazoa, Chordata, Actinopteri, Salmoniformes, Salmonidae.
CAGUGGAGUUUGAAAUGUUAACGAACGCGUAUGCAGAAUAUGUGCAUAUAUUUAAGAAAAAAUAAAUAAAUGCCGUAGCAGCAGCAAAAGAACGUGAGUUAGCGUGGCAGAAAAUUGCUGACCAAGUCAAUGCGCACAAAACCUACUUGGCAGCCACUGAAGAUGAAAUAUACAAAUAUACUUCAAACAGGUAUGUACUUUCUUGGUAAAUAUGCCCAAAAGAAAAUCUGAGAUAUACGGGAGUGUGAGGCAUCAGAGUAUAUCGCUCAAGCCUGACGUCAGUUCCACUUCGAGAGUAACCAGAGAACGUGCAACAUGACAGACCAGCAAAUAAACUUUAAAUAUGGGAGGACCUGAAGAUUAUCAGUGUUAUUAUUCUUCAACAUGAAUUCAUUUGAAUCAAUAACUAAAGUGAUUUAAUCUGUCAUAUGGUAAUCACCCCCAGGUUUCACCCGAAGUGUCGUGGCUGUGUACAGGGUGUUGGUAUGUUGAUUGUUUUACACCAUGUUCAGCGGACAAUUCUGUCAGCAAGAAUUGAAUGGUAAACCUUUAAGCUUUAAUGUCUUGUACCCUAUGUGGCAGCUUCAAUUCCUAGUUACAUAUUAAGCCUACAUUCAGCACCUCCCAUGAAAUGAAGGAGUGGACAUUUUACUGGUAGACCUGGACCUCUUGGCCUUCUCUGUAUGUCUGCAUGACACUGGACAUCACAGAUGGAGGAAGAAAUGCACUUAUUCUCUGUACCAAGUCACAAAACUCAAGAGGAUCGGGUCCUUGGAAAGUUACUGUUCCCUGUCCUUGGUGGGAGAACUGUGUUCCAUUGUGGACUGUAGGGUUCUAAACUGCUGCCUUCUUUACCUGGACACUUCAAGGUCAAAGACCCACUGCAUCUUCUGUCGUUCUGCCCUUAACCCACUGUUAACUGCCUUGCUCAGCCGUCAUUGUAAAUAAGAAUUUGUUCUUAACUGACUUGCCUACUUAAAUAAAGGUUCAAUCUUAAGAACCCGAGUUUUUGUCCUUUACUGAUCUGUUCCCCCAAGGCUUAAAAAGUCAGCCAGACAGCCCACCAUGAAUCAGGUCAUUUUCCUGUGUCAUUAUGAAGAAAGCCUUAUCCCACUUUACAUAGCUGUUGCUUUGGUACAUUAAAGCAGAAAUCUGCCAAAGGAGCCACUGACUGCCCCAGGAGCAUUUGUUGUUUUGAGGAAAUGAGCACCCAGCAUUGUGGUGUAAAAAAAUCAACGUGCAUACUCUGCUGUUCUAUCGCUCGUGCAAUGAUGUCUGAGGGAUUUUUGUUGGUGUUUGAAGUCUUUGUUGUAAUAUGUGUUCCACCAAUUAGGUGCCUUUUUGAGUAUUGUUACUUUACGAGAAACUUUUAGAGAAAAAAAGCCCCAGUUUUACAGUAUUUCACCUAAUUUUAACAUUCUUCAAUAAAGAGCACACAUUCUUAAUUAUUUUACAACAUCAACAGAUAAAAAUAAAAACCAUAGCAAGUGCCAAAUAAAGUGCCUUCAUCUUAAAUCAGCCCUAAAUCCCCUUGUGGCGGGGUAAUGGAAGCUGGUGUGCAGCAGGAAAGGGCAAUUGAAUUCAAGCGUAAAAUAUUUCUAGCCUGUAUCUAUAGCUAACAGGGUUGACAUGUUGUGCUUGACCCUUGCUGUUUUCCACCACAAAACACCAGGUUUUAUUUUCUUGUAUUUUUUAUUUUUACAAAUAACUUAAUUCUAUAUCAGCAUUUUGACAUGUCCAUCAUUGUCUCACGUCAGAUCAGUGCAGAUGGCUGUUGCACUGACCUGAGACAAAGGGAGAUGUUACAAUGCUGAAUUUUGGCACGCCUAUUAUUUUUUAAAUGCAAUAUUUAUGCACAAUUUCUACUUAAAAUAUCAAAGGGCACUUCUAUCCUUUGACCAAUAUCGCAAAUGAACUCGGCAUUUUCACUGCUAUGGAUUGCAGCUUUAAGCAUAAAGUGAACCAAGUGUCAGUUUGAGUCUAAACAGAUUAGUCUUAUAGUUUUUCCAUUCUAUUACUGUUGUUGAGGAAUCAGUGUACAAAACAUUAGGAACACCUUGUCUUUCCAUAAGACUGCCCAGGUGAAAGCUAUGAUCCCAUAUUGAUGUCACUAGUUAAAUCCACUUCAAUCAGUGUAGAUGAAUUGGACGAGACGGGUUAAAGAAGGAUUUUUAAGAUAUCCAGUGCUGUGCCAUCUAGACUGCAAUUCCCCAUUCAACCUCUAGGUUUACUUUCUGUUCAACAAUAUUCAGUACUUCACUGCACUAUUGACUUCAUCUACUUUGUCUCUGUCUUUGAAAUGUCAAUGUUUUUUCUUAUUAAAUCAUGGAAAUUGGAAAUGUUCUCAUAUUUCUGUUAGGGAAUGGGGGUGGGCCUUAAAGUUAACCUUGAGGUUUGUUUGUGUACUUGAAGUGAGAAUGUAGGCCUGUCUAUUUCCUCUUUGUAACAUAACAUUCUGAAUAACAGAAAAUGUAAGUACUGUAGCAUUGACAUUAAAA